This 60-nucleotide transfer RNA is filed under the name Bacteriophage sp. Its description in RNAcentral is "tRNA-OTHER". It matches the Rfam family "tRNA", at positions 13 to 71 of the family's 71-position model. Rfam says of the family: Transfer RNA (tRNA) molecules are approximately 80 nucleotides in length. The record is from RNAcentral.
CAUGGGUAGAGCACAUCGUUCACAUCGAUGGGGUCACAGGUUCGAGUCCUGUUGCGACCA